ACGAAAGGGGGGAAAUACCAGAAAGAGGGAGAGAGGGAAGCAACUCGGGGCUCAAAACAAAUUCAAAUUAAAAGGUCAAGACACCGUUCAGGGAAUAUUACCGGAGAGAAAGAGGGAACCCGCGGGCCUCAGCGGGUUUGGGGGAGUCACGUAUCCCACGGAAAACCGGAACACCAGACUCGACAAAACCCUACCCAAAGAACUUCCCUUUACAGAGUGGAUGAGCUGAGGGCGUUUUUGAAAGGAGCCAAGGGCAGCGCUGUGGCUGGAGGGGAUUACCCGGAGAAGUUGAGCCCAGAGUACCCCUGGUCAGCGAGGGGGGUUGGACAUCCCCGGGGCCCAAAGAUUCAGAACCUAAGCUGUAGAGAUCCCUGUCAUCAAAAACAACGGCAGAGCCUAGAAGCGAUAGUCCGUAGUCUUGGCACUUUUAUCUUUCAUUCAACAGAACUGUAUUGACAAAAACAUUUUCUGUGAAUGAUAUAAGAACAGUUCAAAAGAGGGGGAAAGACAAGAGAAUUGGUUUCAAAUCUCAGAUGUCAAAUAGCAAAUUUGGACAAGAGACUGCCAGAGUGCUCUCACAGAAAGUGCCGAGAGGAUUAUGGAGAAG
Phyllostomus discolor (pale spear-nosed bat) is the source of this 607-nucleotide long non-coding RNA. RefSeq lists it as uncharacterized. Lineage: Eukaryota; Metazoa; Chordata; Mammalia; Chiroptera; Phyllostomidae. The record is from RefSeq and is a predicted model, not a curated record. The transcript has 4 exons.